Molecule: ribosomal RNA, 465 nt
Filed under: Vreelandella stevensii
Lineage: Bacteria; Pseudomonadati; Pseudomonadota; Gammaproteobacteria; Oceanospirillales; Halomonadaceae
Description: partial 16S ribosomal RNA
Rfam family: Bacterial small subunit ribosomal RNA
Source: RNAcentral
CCUACGGGUGGCUGCAGUGGGGAAUAUUGGACAAUGGGGGCAACCCUGAUCCAGCCAUGCCGCGUGUGUGAAGAAGGCUCUCGGGUUGUAAAGCACUUUCAGUGAGGAAGAACGCCUGGUGGUUAAUACCCAUCAGGAAAGACAUCACUCACAGAAGAAGCACCGGCUAACUCCGUGCCAGCAGCCGCGGUAAUACGGAGGGUGCGAGCGUUAAUCGGAAUUACUGGGCGUAAAGCGCGCGUAGGUGGCUUGAUAAGCCGGUUGUGAAAGCCCCGGGCUCAACCUGGGAACGGCAUCCGGAACUGUCAAGCUAGAGUGCAGGAGAGGAAGGUAGAAUUCCCGGUGUAGCGGUGAAAUGCGUAGAGAUCUGGAGGAAUACCAGUGGCGAAGGCGGCCUUCUGGACUGACACUGACACUGAGGUGCGAAAGCGUGGGUAGCAAACAGGAUUAGAUACCCGUGUAGUC